This 253-nucleotide ribosomal RNA is filed under the name uncultured bacterium. RNAcentral describes it as "partial 16S ribosomal RNA". It matches the Rfam family "Bacterial small subunit ribosomal RNA", at positions 524 to 776 of the family's 1533-position model. The record is from RNAcentral.
UACGUAGGGGGCAAGCGUUGUCCGGAUUUAUUGGGCGUAAAGAGCGUGUAGGCGGCCAUGUAGGUCCGUUGUGAAAACUCGAGGCUCAACCUCGAGACGCCGAUGGAAACCAUGUGGCUAGAGUCCGGAAGAGGAGAGUGGAAUUCCCGGUGUAGCGGUGAAAUGCGCAGAUAUCGUGAGGAACACCAGCGGCGAAGGCGGCACUCUGGGCUGGAACUGACGCUGAGGAGCGAAAGCGUGGGUAGCAAACAGG